Molecule: ribosomal RNA, 1051 nt
Filed under: Micrococcus luteus
Lineage: Bacteria; Bacillati; Actinomycetota; Actinomycetes; Micrococcales; Micrococcaceae
Description: bacterial SSU rRNA
Source: RNAcentral
AAGCCUGAUGCAGCGACGCCGCGUGAGGGAUGACGGCCUUCGGGUUGUAAACCUCUUUCAGUAGGGAAGAAGCGAAAGUGACGGUACCUGCAGAAGAAGCACCGGCUAACUACGUGCCAGCAGCCGCGGUAAUACGUAGGGUGCGAGCGUUAUCCGGAAUUAUUGGGCGUAAAGAGCUCGUAGGCGGUUUGUCGCGUCUGUCGUGAAAGUCCGGGGCUUAACCCCGGAUCUGCGGUGGGUACGGGCAGACUAGAGUGCAGUAGGGGAGACUGGAAUUCCUGGUGUAGCGGUGGAAUGCGCAGAUAUCAGGAGGAACACCGAUGGCGAAGGCAGGUCUCUGGGCUGUAACUGACGCUGAGGAGCGAAAGCAUGGGGAGCGAACAGGAUUAGAUACCCUGGUAGUCCAUGCCGUAAACGUUGGGCACUAGGUGUGGGGACCAUUCCACGGUUUCCGCGCCGCAGCUAACGCAUUAAGUGCCCCGCCUGGGGAGUACGGCCGCAAGGCUAAAACUCAAAGGAAUUGACGGGGGCCCGCACAAGCGGCGGAGCAUGCGGAUUAAUUCGAUGCAACGCGAAGAACCUUACCAAGGCUUGACAUGUUCUCGAUCGCCGUAGAGAUACGGUUUCCCCUUUGGGGCGGGUUCACAGGUGGUGCAUGGUUGUCGUCAGCUCGUGUCGUGAGAUGUUGGGUUAAGUCCCGCAACGAGCGCAACCCUCGUUCCAUGUUGCCAGCACGUARUGGUGGGGACUCAUGGGAGACUGCCGGGGUCAACUCGGAGGAAGGUGAGGACGACGUCAAAUCAUCAUGCCCCUUAUGUCUUGGGCUUCACGCAUGCUACAAUGGCCGGUACAAUGGGUUGCGAUACUGUGAGGUGGAGCUAAUCCCAAAAAGCCGGUCUCAGUUCGGAUUGGGGUCUGCAACUCGACCCCAUGAAGUCGGAGUCGCUAGUAAUCGCAGAUCAGCAACGCUGCGGUGAAUACGUUCCCGGGCCUUGUACACACCGCCCGUCAAGUCACGAAAGUUGGUAACACCCGAAGCCGGUGGCCUAAC